Long non-coding RNA from Ostrea edulis (European flat oyster), 549 nucleotides. RefSeq lists it as uncharacterized. The record is from RefSeq and is a predicted model, not a curated record. Lineage: Eukaryota; Metazoa; Mollusca; Bivalvia; Ostreida; Ostreidae. The transcript has 3 exons.
GGGAAGUCUCGUCAUGUGACUUGCGAGAAAUAACGUGAAAUCGUACUUCCGGGCAGUUGUCAGGAUGGCAUUAUCAAUAAUGUACUAGACUCGCUACGUUCAAAACCACAUAGAGCUUACUACAAAAAGCGAGAGAGCGGUGGAUAACAACUGGGUUUAGAAAAUGUGUUCUAAAUAGAGCUCCGAGUUAUUACAGCGGUUGUUCAAGCGUCAAUACGAGACAUUUUCCAACAAAGUACAGAUAUAAAAGGGAAACAUCACAGCUGGAUAAAGCAUCCUAAGUCUGCACCUCGUAAAGCUAUGACAAUGAGAGAAAUGUAUCCACCCAGGCAAUCAGAAUAUAGAGUGCAACACGGAAGGUGCGCUGCAGCUCAAAGAGAGCCAUGGUUAUUGGCAUCAAGUUCCCCAUCAGCUUUACCUCACAGGCACCACUUGUGAUUCCAUAGUUUGAACACCAAUGAACAUAGAAGUGAUUCUCAUCCUUCGAGAGAAUUACUCAAUUGAAUUAAGGCAUCCCAUACAAAUAUAAAGUAAAACAGAUGCAUAAAA